AAUGAACGUUGGCGGCGUGGAUUAGGCAUGCAAGUCGAGCGAGAUCGGUUCCCUCACCUUGUGCUCUCAGUUUUUCAGAGGAGAGCAUGGGGUGAGGGAGCCGUGACAGCGGCGAAAGGGAGAGUAACGCGUAGUUACGUGCCCCGAGGUCCGGAAUAGCCAGCCGAAAGGCUGGGUAAUGCUGGAUAAUGUCCCCGGACCAAAGGUGUGAUUCCGCCUCGGGAGCGGACUGCGUUGUACUAGCUAGUUGGUA
RNAcentral lists this ribosomal RNA (253 nucleotides) under uncultured bacterium. RNAcentral describes it as "partial 16S ribosomal RNA". It matches the Rfam family "Bacterial small subunit ribosomal RNA", at positions 29 to 254 of the family's 1533-position model. The record is from RNAcentral.